Molecule: non-coding RNA, 102 nt
Organism: Populus trichocarpa (black cottonwood)
Lineage: Eukaryota; Viridiplantae; Streptophyta; Magnoliopsida; Malpighiales; Salicaceae
Source: Rfam
UAAAUUGUUUAGAGCAGAUUUUUAUUUAAUUAUGACAAAUUCAUACCUAAUUGCUCAGAAUCAUAAGUGAGAACUACUGUGUGAACAAUAAUUUUUUAAAAU